AUAAUAUAUAAUAAUGUAAUAUAAUAUAAUAUAUUUAAUAUAAUAUAAUAUAAAUAUAUAUAUUUAACUAGAAUCAUGUGUUUUCAGGACAAAUAAAGCAAUGUGGGCUUACAUACAAGUUAAUUUUAAGUUUGAUUUUAGGUGUUGAGCUUGGUCAGCUAAAGAAGCCAAGUGAACAUGGAAUGAUUGGAUGAAGUACUGCAUAAAUGUGAGUUGUUGACGUAGGAGUAACCAUGUCAAUGACCAAUGUCUCAGACCAAUAAGGAUUUGGCAAGGCCCACACAUGUGUGUCUGGCUCAGAAUUAUCAAGCCUACUUCAUAUCUGACUGUGAAUAUUGUCAGUGUGUGCCAAACCACAGCCACAGCUCCCUCCUCCCAGAUGUUUACAGACUACCACACCUCACAGAUAACUCUUAGCAAGAUUAGCUAACUCUUGCCACCUGAGCUGCAUCUAAUGAAGAUGCUGAGGUUCUGGCUGUUGCAGUAGUUCAUACCAUUCCAACAUCAUUCACACAACCCAUCUGACUCUAUUUUCUCUCUGGGUGUCUGUUCUUUUCUUCAUCCCCUCACUGUUCCAGCCAGGGUUCCAGACCCAAGCUUUGAAAGACAAAGGAAUGAACACGGAGUUAAAGAGGGACAGUCCAAAAGUCCAAUGAGUGUUGAUUUUAGGCAUGAGAACUAAUACAAUUUAGAACACCAUGCCAACAACCUGAAACCUUUAACUGAAAACCAGGAUUUUAAAGUGUCAUUGCUUACCACCGUUCAGAGAAACCAAGAAAGUGGAGAUGAAUUGCCCUGGGAAGGAAAUACGGUAUUUCCUUUCCCUUUGCAAAGAAUAGAAAGUAGAGUAGGCCAAAUGCCCUUGUUGCUAAACAGACGACAAACCAUUGGAUUAAUAAUGACUGCCUAAGCUUCCUUCAUAAAGGUCCACUCAAGAAGUUGCUGAUGACACUUAAUAUAUUACAGACAACUGCUGAUAUGCAUUAUAAAAUGUUUUAUUUCUAAUAUUUUACACCAGGUCUUUGAUAUCAUUGAUAUCCUAGGAUACCUUACUAAAUGAACUAGUAUAAUAGGCAAUGUUCAUGGAAAUGCCCCAAAGCCAAAAGAGUUAAUGUUAUCAGUCUUGGCCUUAGAAAUUAUCCUAUAUAUGGUCUUAUGACAAGGCAUGUCCCUGAGAGUCCUUACCUAAAUUGGGGAUACAUACCUGUAAUUCUUCAGCUACUCUAUGAUGGGGAAUGUCCUGUAUAUAUGUUUUUCAUACUGGUUGAUGAAUGAAAGACUGAUUGGCCAGUAGCCAGGCAAGCAUUAUAGGCAGCACUACAAGACAAAGAGAAUGCUGGGUAUAGGAUGAAGAGAGUGAGCUACCACGGAGAUGCCAUGUAACCACCAAAGGAGUAACAGGUUUGGGUACUCUCCGGUAAGCCAAGACUACAUGGAGAUGAAUAUUUUAAUACCAAUGGGUUAAUAAUUAGGAGAGAGCUAGCCAGUAAGAAUACUGAGCCAUCAGCCAAACAGUUUACAAAUUAUGUAAGUUUUUGUGUGUUUAUUUGGGACUGAAGGGAGCAGGACUAGGUGGAACUAGGCAGAACAGAAACAGAAACAGAACAACUCUAUAACAGAAAAUGCCACUUACAAACAUUAAAUACUACUUACAAAGCUAAAGCAAUGCUUGAAUGUGAACUUUUUCAGGUAUAUUAAUAUCUUCUGAAGCUACUGACACCUGCUCAGGUGGAUGAAGGCCAAUCUCACCUGCUCUAAAAGAAUGCAGGAAAUACUUCCCAGAAUGAAACUUUUACCUUUUGAGUCUCCACAGCCUCACAAUAAUAUUAAAUACAAGCCCAGUUAUGUCAUCUUGUCAAGAAAACAAAAAAGUAGUUCUGAACUUCUCAAAUACAUUGGGAAACUUUCCGCGCAAACAAAUUGUCACAUUGUUUUAAUUUUCUUCAUUAUUCUUAUAUUGUUGGUAUAAUGUUUAUCCAAUUACUAAAACCUCAUCCUAUUUUCAUUUUAAUAUACACUGCAACUGGUUUCUUCUUUUCCUUUUUUUUUUUUUUUUUUUUUUUCAAGACAGGGUUUCUCUGUGGCUUUGGAGGCUGUCCUGGAACUAGCUCUCUUAGACCAUGCUAGUCUGGAACUCACAGAGAUCCACCUGCCUCUGACUCCCGAGUGCUGGGAUUAAAGGCAUGCACCACCACUGCCCAGCUGCAACUGGUUUCUUAAAACCAUUUUAUCAAAUUCUCAGGAUAUAACCAACAUUAUUUUUGCACUGCUCGUGUGUCAUCUCUUCUCCAAUAGUAAACUAUGUAAGAUGGCUCUCUGAGGGCAAUCUUGGUCAUUGACUUGUUUGUCUUCUAUUGAGAUCCAUUCCAUGAAAGGACAAAAGAAACCUAAUUCUAUGUCCUUGUCCAGAGAUAGACUUGGCAAUGUGCAGUGGGACUUAUGACCAGUACACUAAAAAGGCUAAGGUUUUGGUUCCUGGGAACUUGGUUUUUAUCCCCUAAACAGAUUGGAUUUAUCAGUUCCAAUUAACCUUAUAUGUAAUAUGUUUGGUUUGUAAUGUUCUUGAGAUGCCCUGUGUUGCUGAUAUCUUCCUGCUGACUCUGUCCCAUUGUAUGCAGCUCUUCACUAACAAAGUUCCAUUUCUCCUGUAGAAAUAGUAUAUAACAUGAUGUGUUUUAAUAAGCUUGCUUGCCUGAGACAUAGUUUAUGAAAAAUCUACUGAUGCCAAACUUUUCAUUAUUAUUAUUAUUAUUAUUAUUAUUAUUAUUAUUAUUACUAUUAUCCAGGCCCUUCACUUAGAACCCUGUCAUAGAAUAAUGACACCUUUCCAUUUUGUGCGAGUAUUGUUCAAGAUAAUCAUUGUACCUUUAUUUAAAUUUUGAAUUUUAAAAAUCAUUGUAAGCGUUAGGAUGUUCUUUGGGCGUGUGGAUAGUCAAGAAGCAAAGAAUUUCUUCUAAAGAGUUACUUCCUGAGGACUUUUAGUCAGGGAUACAGGUGAAACUCUUUAUGAUUCAGAGAUUCCAGCAAUUUGUAAUUCAAAAGAUGUGUGUUCUCCUCUCAUGCCACUGUAUAGAAUAGAGAGAGCGUUAAUAGGGACUGCAUAAACCAGCAGCAUAGAGAUUCUUAGAGGAGACAUAUUACUAUCUGUGGUAGUUUGAAUGUAAGUGUCCCCCAUAAUCUCAUAGGGAGUGGCACUUUUAGGAGGUAAGGCUUUGUUGGAAUAGGUAUGGAUUUUUGGAGGAAGCAUAUCAUUGUGGGGAUGGUCUUUGAGGCUUCCUAUGCUCAGGAUGUCACACAGUGUCUGAGUUAACUUCCUGUUUCCUGCAAGACACAAGACUUUCCACAUCUCCCUGUAUGCUACCAUGUUCCACAUCAUGAUGACAAUGGACUGAACCUUUAAAACUAUUUUCAGUGUUUCCAAAGAAGACCUAAAGGCUGCAUGUGGCAUUUCCCAUAGAAGUGACAGCCAAGUGUAUUCAACAAAUCAGCUACAGCUCCACCAUAGGACUCUUUCACAGGGCAGGUAGAGAUUGGAAGAAUUUUGUGUAGCUCUUUGUGGCAUUGAACUAACAGAGAUACUGAGCCAUGGGAUUAAAGGCUCUGUGAAGCUUGUCCCACUAUGUUCUUACUGUACUUCAAGAUUAGUGUCAGCGUGGCAAUCUGAAAAUAUGUGGAGCCUUGAAUAUGGAAGCUUAAUAGAAUAUUGGGAUAUAAGAGAGAGAACAACCAGAUGCAUCUUGAAGACUCCAGAGCAGAGAGAAAAUGAAGUAGACUGAACAUGUCCAGUGGACUGGACCUGCCCAUGGCUCUCUGUGAGAGAGGGGGUGAUAGCAGGGAUAGACAAUAUUGAAAGAAUAAUAAAAGAAUCAGUAGCAGAGAAAAGAGAGAAAGAAAUAUUGUAAGAAUAGCAGGGCUAUAAGGAGAAUGAAUAGCUCUAGGGAAGGGGGUAUAUGGUAGUUUGGGGGAUGAGAAGGGCUGGGAUGUUCACAUGGACUUUAAAAUGUGUAACAGGUAGUUAUGAUACUCAAGGAGCCCAGUACUACAGAUAGCCACAUGCCGCUUUAGCCAGAGGUAAGGAAAAUGACUUCUUUUUGUAGAGAGAAAUUAACAUCACAAGCUCCUGAGGAAUGCUGACUUUUGAUUGUCUGUCAUAAGUCCUUCUAUGGACCAGGUUGAACUGCUUUGAUAUUUGGACUGCCUUUAGUAGUUUGAGAAAUUGCAGUUUCCUUUGUACCUGACUGUUUUUAAGGGCAUUGCUAAACUAGGCAUUGUGGCACAUGCCUCAAUGGGCCACCAGUCUUGGUGUUGAAGAGGAGCUUGGGCUCAGACUCCAAGGUAACAGGGCAAGGCACCAUGUCAAAAUAUGAAAUAAAAAGAAACAAACAUUAAUUUCAUUUACUCUUGAUAACAAAUUAAAAAUGCCAGACUCCAUGUCUUAAGGUUACUAUUGUUGUAAUGAAACACUGAACAAAGCAACUUGGAGAGAAAAGGGUUUAUUCAACUUAUACAUCACACUUCAUCUUCAAAAAGUCAAGACUGUAACUAAAUCAUGGAAGGAACCUGUAGGCAGUAGCUGAUGCAGACGGAGGCCAUGGAGAAAUGCUGUUUACUGGUGUGCUUCUUGGGGCUUGAUUGCCUGUUUUCUUAUAGAAAUCAGGAACCACAGCCCAAGGAUACAACCACCUAUAACUGACUGAGCACUCCCUCAUCAAUCAAUAAUGAAGAAAAUGCCCUACAGGCCUGCAGCCCCAUCUUAUGAAGGCAUUUUCUCCACUGAGCCUCUCUCCUCUCUGAUGACUCUAGUUUGUGUCAAGUUGACCUAAAACUAUCCAACACAUUCUCAAAAUACAAUGAGCAAAGUAUGAAGUUAUAUUUGUGUGACAAAUGUGACAAUGAUGCUUUAAAAACUGAAUAAUAGUAAGUGACCCCAAUGGAUGUUUACCACAUAGUUCAUUUUUCAUUUUUCUUUUAAGAAAUAUAGCCUGGAUUUUAGAAGUCAUGUUACAGAUUCAGAAGGUUCUUGUGCUUUGCUGUUCAGUGUUUGUCAGGGCACACACAUGCUCUCUCUGUCAUUUUUUGUUAUGCCAAACUGUUUUUCUGUCACUUAAAAAAAUAUUUCUAAGGCCUAUUUAAAGAUAACUUCUGCUCUGCUUCACAAUGACUUCGGAAACUCGCUUCAGUGUUUAAUAAGUAUUGCCCUUCUGAGGAAAUGUUCUUUAUAGCUGACUUAAAUUACUUACUCUGUAGCAUAAAGCCAUUUGUAGUUUUGUCUUCAGCCAUCUUCUUCAGAGGGUAACAAUUAGAAGAUAACCACUAAGUUAUCACCCAUUCACAUUCUGGAGUUUUAUUUGCUUGUUUCUUCUUUACACAGAGCUAAAAGUUCUGAAUUUCUCACUACAAUUCUUAUUCAGAAGUUCACUAUUUACAGUAGAAAUAAAUAUACAAAGAAGAGGUUCUUCAAUUGGGCUUAAGGAAUGUGUGAUAUUUUAAAUCAGUCCUUGUCAUUCAGUAACACAAAAUUUCAGGUUAGUCUGUGAGUUUUAUGUUAUAAUUUUUGGGGGUUAUACUGCAAUCCUGUCUAAUCCCCAAUCCUGUUUUAUUGUGAAAAUCUACAAUUGCUAUAUAUGUUUUCUCCAUGAGUAAUUUUUUUUUCUAGUUGAAAAGGUACACAGUCUUCAUCUCAGGGGUAUGAAAACAUUCUAAAAAAAUUAUUUCCUCUGAACUUUGGAUAGCAGGCUACUAAAGAAAUAGAAGCCCCCAAAUAGAAAUUUUCCUAGGAAUAUGAUAUUGAGAGAAUAACUGAAGCCUGGUGACAGACAAAAUAGGAUGUUGUCUCCAGGAAUGAGACGUCACACAGGCCAAACAACUUAUCAAAUCAACUUGCAGGAGUUGCCUAAAGUUGAGACAAUUAUAAGGACAAGAUCUCUUGGCCAAGAUUCCUUCUUAUGAUCAGUCAUGCAUACCUCUCGCCUUACAUUUAAAUUUAAUUUCAUAUAAGAACUGUAAAAAUGACUUCUUUGUUUGUCUCCCUCAUAGGACUACCUUGAACAAAUCUCCUUUAUCUUCUUCAUUACAAUUUGUUUCUUUAAUUGGAUUAUAGAGAAUUCGAGGCUGGUCCUAGGGCUGUCAGGGCUCUGCACUGUCCCUCACAAUUCCAUAACAAUGCUAUGUUCCCUUUUCAACUUAAUGAAUAUAACAUCUAUCUGUAUGCAUGUGUUUAUAUGUUAUCUUUGUUUACCAAACAAACAAACAAAAUUUGCAUCACAAAAAGACAUGGGAUAUGUUGAAAAAUCUCUUAAAUUAAGGGAACCAGUUUUGUUAUUUGUAAGAUAAUUUUUAUUGAAUAAAAGACAAAAGAUAUCAUAAGAGGCUAUUUUCCAUCUUAGUAUCAAAUUUUGGGGUUAGAGAUAUGGUUCAAUUGCUAAGAAUUUGUACUGAUGCUCUUCCAGAGGAAGCAAGUUCAAUUCCAAGCACUCACAUCAAUUGACUAAAAACUAUCUGCCGCUCCAACUCCAAGAGAAUAUGACACAUCUGACACAUUCAGACACCUGCACUCAUGUCCACAUUCAUACACACACCCACACCCACACAAACACACACACAAAUAAAUAUCAAUUUUAAAGUUUAUUUUAGUAUCAAAAGACUUCCUUUUUCUGUAAAUUAAUGAAAUUAUUAAACAUAAAUUUGCUUACACAUCCUAUGGUCUAUAAUAAUAUUCAUAUGUUAUUAAUAAUACCAUCCAAUAUAAAGCAUUCGAAAGAAAAACAAUUUAUGCCUGGGCUUUGGAGACACAUGCCUUUAAUCCCGGCAAUCAGGAGGCAGAGGCAAGCAGAUUUCUUUGAGUUUGAGGCCAGCCUGGUCUCCAGAGCAAGUGCCAGGAUAGGCUCCAAAGCUACACAGAGAAACCCUUUCACAAAAAAACAAAAAAAAAGGAAAAAAGAAAAAGAAAAACAAUUUAUGGCUAAUACCUCUAUCUGACUGAAUCUAUGUAUCCUUCCUGCAGUGGUUUCAAUAGGUAUGGCCCUCAUAGAUUUUUGUGUUUGAAUGCUUGGCCUAGAGGAGUGGCAUCAUUAAGAAAGUUGGCCUUGUUGCAGUAGGUGUGGCCUUGUUUGGGAAAAUGUGUCACUUUGGGUUUGGGCGUUGAGGUCUCAUGUGCUCAAGCCAUGACCAGGGUGGUAUACAGUCUCCUUCUGCUGCCUGAAGAUGAAGAUGUAGAACUCUUCAGCCAUUCUAGCACCAUGUCUUCCUGCAUUCUGUCAUGUUUCCCACCAUGAUGAUAUUGGACUAAACAUCUGAAACUGUAAGCCAACCCCAAUUAAAUGUUUCCUUUAUGAGUGCUGUGUUGCCAUGUUAUCUCUUCACAGCAAUAGAAACACUAACUAAGUCUCUCAACAUAAAAUUAACAAUACUCUGCCAGUUUUUAUUCUUUUGGAAAUAAAUAGGCUUCUACUUUCAAAUUUAUUCUUCAAUUUAUCUACAGUAUAUAGAGAGAACUUGGAAUUAUCACCUAUGGGAAAGGUAUGACCAAGAAAUUAUUGCAACAACAGCUUUGGUGUACCUUUGUAGAAAAUUUGGAUUCAUGUAGCCCAUUGGAGACAUCCUCUACAAUUAUGGUCUUCAUGGCUCUUGUCCAAUUUUUAAACAUACAAUGCUCCUAAUGAAUAUAAAUGGGGCAUGUUGCAUUGAUGUAACAAAAAUUACAUUUGAAAAGAAUAACAUGGUGUAAAGAAUGGGCGUCUCUUGAAGGUAUGCAUGAAACCAAGUACAUUACACCUUUCCUUAACACUAUAAAAAAACUGCCACAGCUCUCCUCUUAAAGGUAAUAAGAAAUACUUCAUUAUGUAGCCAUUUUAAAUUAUCAUGGCUUGGAAACACAGAUUAAGUUUGCCACAAGUUCCAUGUUAUAAUAUGGAAGCAUUUCCAUGAAGUUUAUAGUUUUACAUAACAAGGAGAGUCAUAAAUCAUGACAAGCUAAUGAAUUUGUGGGUACAAAAAAGGUAGUUACAGUAAUAUGGGUGAACCUUUUCUAUAGGCAUCAUUUCCUAUUUGAUGAUUUUCUUAGCAUUUUGGUUGGUGGAAAGUAGUGAUUUGUUAACAGAUUACAAAACACUUCUAUCAAUUAGACACAAAUAUAUUAGUUCCAUCAUAGAGGUAGUCAAGGAAUGCCUAUUUAGGUGGUUGUGGUUAGUCAGAGAUAAGGUAAUUAGCCUCUGUAUUCCAAUCUUUCCCUAGCAUUGCAGGUUUGGUCUGUCUUUGCAGGUACAAUUCCUUGUCAGAAAUUCUAACAGAAAAAGGUAUAUUAUUAAAUAUACUAAAUAUAAAUACUCAUAGGGUAUGUGCUGGAAGGUCCAAGGGCAUAAUAUUAUCUAAUAAUUAUGGAGUGAAUCAUGGCCACAGGAAUCAUAACACCUAAUACAACAGACAGUUGGACACUGAGUGGUACAAAAAGAAAUGUCAUAAAGUCACUAGUUCAGGAAUAUUUCUAAAUCCAUUGUCCCCAAAUUCACCAGCUAAAGAAUCAUUGUAAACGUCAGGAGUCAGAAAUACAGAAAAAAAAAUCUAAAUAUUGAAGAAAUGGUUUAUAGCAACAAAUUUAUUUCCCAGACAGGAGGAAUGCAGGAGUUACAAAGGCUUAAUGUCAGCUUGUGUUCAAUGGAAACUGUGUUCACCAAUCUCUGAAUUGAAACAAUUUAAUUUUAUACUGUUAAUUUUUUAGAAUAAUCGAUCUACAUGGUUAGUAGUCACCAGUACAUAUUUAUUUGUUCUUCUAUUUUUAUAAUGUUAAGGAAUUACCUCAAAGGCCUCAACACAUGGUAAGCAUACAUGCCACCAGUAACCUACAUCCUCAGCCAAUGGUACUUUAAUAUAUUGCAUUUCAGCUUAACCUAAAACCUGAAUAUCAGGGAUAUUAGUGAUAGCUCAAAGUAGAGCAUGAGCUUAGUAUUUACCCCAGAUCAAACCUGUAGUUAGUGAAAAAUAAUCUAAUAAUUUACAUGGAAAUAUAAAUAAUAAUAAUAAAAUCAUAUCUCUCAGGAACUGAGUAAAAACCCCUCACCAAAAUAUUACAUAGCCUAUCAGUAAAGUUGUUGCAAGCUGGAUUUGUCUCUGAUGUGAAAGUAUGCAUGCAAUUUUCAAAAUAAGUUAAUGGAAUUCAUUAUAUUAUGAAAUAAAAUAAAUAUCACAUGAUCAUAUGAAAACAUUCAGAAAGAUCCUUUGUCAGAAGACCAUGUUGAUUCAUCCUAAAGACUCUCCAUAAUAAAAAAAAUACCAGGUAAUUUCUGAAGCUUAAUAAUAAAGAUGUUAAAACCCUGUUACAACAUACUAAUUAGCUUGAAACCCAAAGAUUUUCUACAAAGAUCUGGAUAAAGAUAGUAAAGUUUCCUCUCACCACCCAUUAGUGUCCCAGUAGUUCGAUGCAAAAAGGAAGUCCAAAUACACAGUCAUUGCUAUUAUUAAUUAGCCAGAAAUGAGUGAUAAAUCUAAAUUAUAUAAAUGUGACUCACAAAAGAUAAAACAGGAAAAAUAUAUGUAUUUAGAAAUACACCAGUAAGUUAUAAACAUUAUAAAUAUACAUGUAGCUGACAUCAGAGCAUAAAGUGGAAAUACUGAUAGAUCUAAAAUAUCUCAGUAAGGAUUUAAUUGCUUUUAAGACUGAAUAAAAUAUCCAGAUGGGAAUCAGAAGACAAAGAUUGGACAAUAGUAUAAUCCAAAUAGAUAAUGCAUUACAAAAUUCACAUUCUUCUCAAUUGCACAGGGAAAUACUCCAAGCUAGGUCGUGUUACACAACAAAUGUAUCUAAAUGAAUUUGGGGAGAUUAUCGACUUCAACUGAAGAAUUAUUUUCCUGUCUGUAAUGGGAUGGAAUCAACACUGGUAGGAUGAGAAAAUUCACAGCAAUAUAGAAUUUAAUAGCACAGUUUUAAGCAUCAUUAGUUCAUAAAAAGCAAGUGCAGUAAAGGGAUAUUAAAUAACAUAUAAAUAUGCUUUAAACUAUUUCUUCUUUUGAGUUUGUAGCUUAUUAUUUAUUACAUCUUGUAUGUCAACACUGGAAAUUUUAAAUAUUCACAUUAAUUUUUACUACAUAACAUCAUUUGACAAAUUUCUUAUUUUUUUUAAUGCAGUUUGAAUAUCCUAAAUUGACAAAAGCCAAGGAAAAUUUUCAGAUUGUAAAAAUAUUCAUGUGACAAAAAUCUACAAUAUUACAAA
Non-coding RNA from Cricetulus griseus (Chinese hamster), 10205 nucleotides. Lineage: Eukaryota; Metazoa; Chordata; Mammalia; Rodentia; Cricetidae. The record is from RefSeq and is a predicted model, not a curated record.